Molecule: small nuclear RNA, 145 nt
Organism: Sciurus vulgaris (Eurasian red squirrel)
Lineage: Eukaryota; Metazoa; Chordata; Mammalia; Rodentia; Sciuridae
Gene: U4
Rfam family: U4 spliceosomal RNA
About the family: U4 small nuclear RNA (U4 snRNA) is a component of the major U2-dependent spliceosome. The structure of U4 snRNA from yeast and human has been reported. U4 snRNA presents a k-turn RNA motif in the 5p-SL related to recognition of Snu13 protein.
Source: Ensembl
AGCUUUGUAUAGUGGCAGUAUCGUAGCCAAUGAGGUUUAUCCGAGGCAUGAUUAUUGCUAAUUGAAAACUUGAACUCCAUUAUGUACAAAAUUUAUACAACUACAGCAGGUUUCUCCUAAUUUAUUUUAGCAUGAUAUAUCUGUC